RNAcentral lists this ribosomal RNA (499 nucleotides) under uncultured bacterium. Its description in RNAcentral is "partial 16S ribosomal RNA". It matches the Rfam family "Bacterial small subunit ribosomal RNA", at positions 28 to 507 of the family's 1533-position model. The record is from RNAcentral.
GAUGAACGCUGGCGGCGUGCCUAAUACAUGCAAGUCGAGCGAACAGACGAGAGUGCUUGCACUCUCUGACGUUAGCGGCGGACGGGUGAGUAACACGUGGGUAACCUACCUAUAAGACUGGGAUAACUUCGGGAAACCGGAGCUAAUACCGGAUAAUAUUUAGCUUCGCAUGAAGCAAUAGUGAAAGACGGUUCUGCUGUCACUUAUAGAUGGACCCGCGGUGUAUUAGCUAGUUGGUGAGGUAACGGCUCACCAAGGCAACGAUACGUAGCCGACCUGAGAGGGUGAUCGGCCACACUGGGACUGAGACACGGCCCAGACUCCUACGGGAGGCAGCAGUAGGGAAUCUUCCGCAAUGGACGAAAGUCUGACGGAGCAAUGCCGCGUGAGUGAAGAAGGUUUUCGGAUCGUAAAACUCUGUUGUAAGGGAGGAACAAGUACGUUAGUAACUGAACGUACCUUGACGGUACCUUACCAGAAAGCCACGGCUAACUACGUG